GAUGAACGCUGGCGGCGUGCCUAAUACAUGCAAGUCGAGCGAACGGACGCUAACCUUGCUUCUCGGGUGUUAACGGCGGACGGGUGAGUAACACGUGGAGAACCUACCUAUAAGACUGGGAUAACUUCGUGAAACCGGUGCUAAUACCGGAUGCUAUUUUGAACCGCAUGGUUCAAAAGUGAAAGACGGUCUUGCUGUCACUUCUAGAUGUAUCCGCGCUGCAUUAGCUAGUUGGUAAGGUAACGGCUUACCAAGGCGACGAUGCGUAGACGACCUGGGAGAGUGAUAGGCCACACUGGAACUGAGACACGGUCCAGACUCCUACGGGAGGCAGCAGUAGGGAAUGGUCCGCAAUAGGCGAAAGUCUGACGGAGCAACGCCGCGUGAGUGAUGACGGUCCUCGGAUCGUAAAACUCUGUUAUUAGGGAAGAACAUAUGUGUAAGUAACUGUGCACAUCUUGACGGUACCUACACAGAAAGCCACGGCUAACUACGUG
This 497-nucleotide ribosomal RNA is filed under the name uncultured bacterium. RNAcentral's name for it is "partial 16S ribosomal RNA". It matches the Rfam family "Bacterial small subunit ribosomal RNA", at positions 28 to 507 of the family's 1533-position model. The record is from RNAcentral.